Molecule: ribosomal RNA, 109 nt
Filed under: Saimiri boliviensis boliviensis (Bolivian squirrel monkey)
Lineage: Eukaryota; Metazoa; Chordata; Mammalia; Primates; Cebidae
Source: RNAcentral
GUCUAUGGCCAUAGCACUCUGAACGUGCCUGAUCUCAUAAGCUAAGCAGGGUCAGGCCUGGUUAGUACUUGGAUGGGAGACCACCUGGGAAAAACAGGUGCUGUAGGCU